Molecule: transfer RNA, 86 nt
Filed under: Nitrososphaerota archaeon
Lineage: Archaea; Thermoproteati; Nitrososphaerota
Description: tRNA-Ser
Rfam family: tRNA
About the family: Transfer RNA (tRNA) molecules are approximately 80 nucleotides in length. Their secondary structure includes four short double-helical elements and three loops (D, anti-codon, and T loops).
Source: RNAcentral
GCCGGGGUCGCCUAGCUCGGUAGGGCGCAGGCCUGGAGAGCCUGUCUUGCGAAAGCGGGUCGUGGGUUCGAAUCCCACCCCCGGCG